This 1197-nucleotide long non-coding RNA is filed under the name Lathyrus oleraceus (garden pea). Its description in RNAcentral is "Pisum sativum (pea) long non-coding RNA (PSAT_LNC041017)". The record is from RNAcentral. Lineage: Eukaryota; Viridiplantae; Streptophyta; Magnoliopsida; Fabales; Fabaceae.
UUAUAUGGAAUUGUCAAUUCUUCUCUCAUCUAUUUUUUUUCAUUUUUUAUUUUUGUCUUUCAUAUUAUGGUUUCAACCUUUUUUAUUUUUGUCUUCCAUAUGGUUUCAACCUUUAUCAUCACUUUCAUUCUUCUAAUGUCAUGGUAUUUUAAUUAAUUGUUUUGAUGUUGAAAUAUGUACGUGUUUGCUCAAUUUAGUUUUGAAUUUGUCUUAUCCUUUUUGUUACUUUUAAUUUAUUUAUUUAUUCUUUUUAUUAUGUGCAAUUUUGGUGGAAGUGAACACUACUCGAGAGAGAAAGUUGUCUUUGUAGAAAAACUGCCUCAAUAAUCCUUUUUAAAUUUGCUUUUAUGUCUUUUCAAUUUUAUGGUAACAAAGGUAUUAUUAUUGAUUUGUCAUAAAGAGGAGAGAGGUUGAAGAAAUGAGAGAAAAAAAUGAACUGUGAUCAAAUGUUGAAACACAGGGUGAAGUUAAAAAUGAAUUUAAAUUUAUUUGGAUUUAAAGUGAAAUGGAAACUCUUAUAUAAGGAGGAAGUGAGGGAGCACCUAGAUCCAAAACAAUAAUGGAAAAUUGGAGAAAAAAUGGGGAAAUUAAAAUUAGGGUUUGGAAAUGAAUAAUAAAAAAAAUUAAGAAAAAAAUAAAGGAAGAAAGAUGAAUUUUGUUUUGUGUGUUGUGUUAGUGUAUAAUUAACGAAUGAAUGUGAUAUGUAUCCUUAAAUGAAAAAAUUACCCUUUAACUUCCUUUAACUUCCUCUUUGGAUUUAUAAAUUUAUCAUUACAGAGAAAACUGUUUUAUGACAAAAUUAUCCUUUAUGACAAAAUUACCUUUUAACUUCCUCUUUGUCUUUAUAAAUUUAUCAUUACAGAGAAAACUGUUUUUAUAUUUUAUUUUUCUACUCAUCACCACAUAAUAAAACCAACCUUCAUGUACAUUUGAGAUCAAUUAACCGCUACAUAAUUUCUUGGUUUCAUUCUCUCAACCGACCAUCAUUCUCUUGACAGUUACAAUUUUAUUUGCUCAACCGCUCAUCAUCCUUUUGGAAGUCAUGAUUUCAUUCUCUCAACUACUCAUCAUCCUCUCGGCGGCUCUCAAUGCUUUAAAAUUAAAAUUUAUUCUAUCUUCAUCCCACAAAAGAAAAAUUUAAACUUUAAGAGCUUUCAUAUGAAGGUUCCUCCUUAUCCAUAUUCAAUUAUAACUUUU